UGACUUUUCCAACUGAGGACCAGAAUCAGGGGUCAGUAGACUGAGAGCCCCUGCGCUGCUCAGCUGCCUCUCUCCUCUCUCUCGAUCUCAUCUGUGUGCUGAUGUGCCUGACAAGACCACCGUCUGAGACUCCUUGGGGCAACAAAGUGAAAAGACUGAAGCAGAAUAUAUACUCAGAAACAGCCGAACAAAAGAGCAAUAAGAGGUAUGAGGUCUUUUAGCUCUCUGGACAAAGGGAACAUAUGUUCAGAAGACCGAAGGUUCACCAGCUGUGUCCACUCCAAGGACAGCCAGCCCAGCCAGAUAGAAGUAAGAGUAACUACGGGCUUCCCUGGCAAUCCAGACGAGAAGACUCCAUGCUUCCACUGCAGGGGCGUGAGACUGACCCUUGGUUGGGGAACUGAGAUCUUGUACGCCAUGUGGUGCACCCAACAGAGAGAAAGAAGAGCAACCAGAGAAAGAUCUCCGGGGACUAACAGGGUUUGCUGUUAGGGCGCUGCUCUUCUGCAGGUUCUCCACCAACUCUGCAGCCACCUGGGACUCCUGCUUGGAUUUGCUCUUUUAUACGGUCUCCCUCAGUGGUUCUGACGGAUGAUUCUGCCUAAAGCAACCAAAAUGACUCUCCAGAAAGUAGCAACAGAACUGUUUUCUUAGCUCUGCUCAACUCACAUUGAUAUCCUUUGCUAACAUCACUUCCUGCCCCACCUCACAGUUCUCUCUUGAUAUUCCAUACAUAACUUGCCUAAAAAACAUUUUUGCUCUGUUUGUCAAAUAAUCUAGAAGCCAUAAAUUCAUAUUUACCUUUCAUAGGUGAAAGACUGUGGUAAAAGUUGAGCGUUUCCG
Molecule: long non-coding RNA, 843 nt
Filed under: Bos indicus x Bos taurus (hybrid cattle)
Lineage: Eukaryota; Metazoa; Chordata; Mammalia; Artiodactyla; Bovidae
Description: lncRNA (ENSBIXG00005022001.1)
Source: RNAcentral